UGGGGAAUAUUGGGCAAUGGGCGAAAGCCUGACCCAGCAACGCCGCGUGAAGGAAGAAGGUUUUCGGAUCGUAAACUUCUAUCCCGGGUGAAGAUAAUGACGGUAGCCCGGAAGGAAGCCCCGGCUAACUACGUGCCAGCAGCCGCGGUAAUACGUAGGGGGCAAGCGUUGUCCGGAAUGAUUGGGCGUAAAGGGCGCGUAGGCGGCCUUGUAAGUCCGAUGUGAAAUUCCUGCUUUUAAGGUAGGAAUUGCAUUGGAAACUGUAGGGCUUGAGUGCAGGAGAGGUAAGCGGAAUUCCCGGUGUAGCGGUGAAAUGCGUAGAGAUCGGGAGGAACACCAGUGGCGAAGGCGGCUUACUGGACUGUAACUGACGCUGAGGCGCGAAAGUGUGGGGAGCAAACA
Molecule: ribosomal RNA, 402 nt
Filed under: uncultured prokaryote
Description: bacterial SSU rRNA
Rfam family: Bacterial small subunit ribosomal RNA
Source: RNAcentral